AAAUUGAAGAGUUUGAUCAUGGCUCAGAUUGAACGCUGGCGGCAGGCCUAACACAUGCAAGUCGAACGGUAACAGGAAGCAGCUUGCUGCUUUGCUGACGAGUGGCGGACGGGUGAGUAAUGUCUGGGAAACUGCCUGAUGGAGGGGGAUAACUACUGGAAACGGUAGCUAAUACCGCAUAACGUCGCAAGACCAAAGAGGGGGACCUUCGGGCCUCUUGCCAUCGGAUGUGCCCAGAUGGGAUUAGCUAGUAGGUGAGGUAA
RNAcentral lists this ribosomal RNA (263 nucleotides) under Escherichia coli. Its description in RNAcentral is "partial 16S ribosomal RNA". It matches the Rfam family "Bacterial small subunit ribosomal RNA", at positions 1 to 260 of the family's 1533-position model. The record is from RNAcentral. Lineage: Bacteria; Pseudomonadati; Pseudomonadota; Gammaproteobacteria; Enterobacterales; Enterobacteriaceae.